ACGCCUCUUCAACCUCCAGCAGAGACCAGCGCAGAUACGUAUCCACACCAACCCGGAAAAAUCUCCCAAUUUCGUUCGAUUUCGUGCCUCCUCUCUCACGGAAAGUCCAUCUAUAAAUACCACACAAUCUCCUCUGUUUCUGCCCCAAUAAUCCAGAAUUUGUGCGCCGCCAGGCUGUUAAAUUUGCUCGCCGGAGUUCAUCUCGGCCGCCAAUGACACUCAUUGAUUCUGGCGAAAACCCACAGCCAAGCGACGAACUUGUCUAUGAGCGAACCUCGCCGACCCCCGCGUCACCUCUGGCCGCCUCCACUCGAAGUUUGAAGAAGGGCCUGGGCACAUCGCUGUUACCAUCAGGUUCCCUGCGUCAUGCUGUUUGUCGUCGUCCACUUCACCGAGCCCGUAAACCACCGAAGCAGCAUCGACGAGGACACCCACGGGCAGCAGCACCGCCCACUUUCUCAGCAUGGUUGAGCUCUGCAGUUGUACGGAGAGAUACGAGUUUUGAUUGAGAGAAGAGCAGAAUUCUUCAGAUACCAAAAAGGCA
Molecule: non-coding RNA, 544 nt
Organism: Lolium perenne
Lineage: Eukaryota; Viridiplantae; Streptophyta; Magnoliopsida; Poales; Poaceae
Source: RefSeq, a predicted model, not a curated record